UCCUUUGUGUAUAAGCGUGUGCACUCAUCAUCAGCAUGCACACGGACCAGUUUUCUGUCUAUCGAUUCGAAUCGAAUGUAGCCAGAGACGUUCAAGUUUAAUUUUCCCGGCUUCGUUCCCAUGGAAACACACUGACCAAAGAGAUCUUAAACAACCUUCUCUUCCCCCUUUUUCAUGGGAUGUUGAGGAUGGAAAGGUGCAACUGUAAGAUAAAUAUACAAUUAAAAUACAAGAUUGAAAUUAAAGGAUCAAACUAAAGGAUAAAUUGUAAUAACAAAAUAGAAACAGAAAGGUUACGUUUUACUUGAUUAUGAUGAGAGAUGGAAACUGAUUGGAAGAAACUUUGCGUUGGCCAGUGAGAUACCUUCAAGUGGCUGCGGUAGAGAGGAUGAUACACAGGAAACAAAGAAAAUUGUGCAACAGCACUGGAAAAAUAAAGUGCUGACGAUACGGUGACCGAGAAACCAAGUGACCCAAUGAUAUACGAAUUGAGUUAACGGCGUUUAUCCGGAUCGUGAUUCUCUUACAUACUUUUUGCGAUCUCUUCUUCCGUGAAUGCUCCACAAAAUGUGAAAAAAAUAAGUGUUUCUCAAAAGGAAUUUCGCAAAAUCCGACGUCUAGACGAGAAACAACCUUGUAAACAGGUCACGACAGAAACUUACUUUCCCGUCGAUGAUUAAUCAUUUCAUCGACCAAUAUUCAAUUUAUCUUGCACGAAUCACGUUUUAUUACGAUCUUUCCAUAUGAAAUCGCAAUUAUUCUUUCUACUAGAAAAAAGGAGAGGUUGAAUUUACAAUUGAGUAACAACAAGCUGAUGUCCACGGAUGUGUUGUCAUUAGGAUUUCAUUGUCAGGAACACGCAACUGACUCACCAAUAGGCCGGUUUCCACGCUCGGCAGCAACGUAAGCCUACUGCCAUCUUGCAAACGAUUUUCCUCGAGCGUGCCCUCGCGCAGUUGCCUGAAAUACACCAAAAAUUCUUAGUUAAAUAUCGUCAUUCAAGCCUCACAGCGACGAAACAGCCUUCGCUGUGUUUACGAAAAAUUACGAAAAACUGUUCUAUGAAUAUUGUUCCGCGAUAAUUGGGGCUAAUUCGAACACGGCGUUAUCCCUUAUCGCGCCAAGCACGUGUAAGAUUACACGUACGUGGCGUAAUUACAUGUCGCACAAU
Frieseomelitta varia is the source of this 1171-nucleotide long non-coding RNA. RefSeq lists it as uncharacterized. The transcript has 2 exons. The record is from RefSeq and is a predicted model, not a curated record. NCBI's taxonomy places the organism in Eukaryota, Metazoa, Arthropoda, Insecta, Hymenoptera, Apidae.